This 253-nucleotide ribosomal RNA is filed under the name uncultured bacterium. RNAcentral's name for it is "partial 16S ribosomal RNA". It matches the Rfam family "Bacterial small subunit ribosomal RNA", at positions 524 to 776 of the family's 1533-position model. The record is from RNAcentral.
GACGGAGGGGGCGAGCGUUGUUCGGAAUUAUUGGGCGUAAAGAGCUCGUAGGCGGACUGUCACGUCUGCUGUGAAAAGCUGGGGCUUAACCCUGGCCUUGCAGUGGAUACGGGCAGACUAGAGGUAGGUAGGGGAGAAUGGAAUUCCCGGUGUAGCGGUGAAAUGCGCAGAUAUCGGGAGGAACACCGGUGGCGAAGGCGGUUCUCUGGGCCUUACCUGACGCUGAGGAGCGAAAGCGUGGGGAGCGAACAGG